GAAUCCCGUCUUUGGCAUGGAUGACCGGGGCUUUUGUGAUGCGCUCUCGAAGAGUCGAGUUGUUUGGGAAUGCAGCUCAAAAUGGGUGGUGAACUCCAUCUAAAGCUAAAUAUUGGCGAGAGACCGAUAGCGAACAAGUACCGUGAGGGAAAGAUGAAAAGCACUUUGGAAAGAGAGUGAAACAGUACGUGAAAUUGUUGAAAGGGAAACGCUUGAAGUCAGUCGCGUCGGCCGAGACUCAGCCUUGCCUCGGCUUGGUGUACUUCUUGACCGACGGGUCAGCAUCAAUUUUGCCCCUUGGAUAAUGGCGAGGGAAAUGUGACACCUUUAUAGGUGUGUUAUAGUCUCUCGUCGCAUGCAAGGGUCGGGAUUGAGGAACUCAGCACGCGCCUUCGGGCGUCGGGGCCUUGCCCACGAUACGUGCUUAGGAUGUUGGCGUAAUGGCUUUAAACGACCCGUCUUGAAACACGGACCAAGGAGUCUAACAUGCCCGCGAGUGUUCGGGUGGAAAACCCGUGCGCGCAAUGAAAGUGAAAGUUGGGACCUCUGUCGCGGAGGGCACCGACGCCCGGACCAGAGCUUCUGCGACGGAUCUGCGGUGGAGCGUGUAUGUUAGGACCCGAAAGAUGGUGAACUAUGCCUGAAUAGGGUGAAGCCAGAGGAAACUCUGGUGGAGGCUCGUAGCGAUUCUGACGUGCAAAUCGAUCGUCAAAUUUGGGUAUAGGGGCGAAAGACUAAUCGAACCAUCUAGUAGCUGGUUCCUGCC
RNAcentral lists this ribosomal RNA (766 nucleotides) under uncultured Russula. Its description in RNAcentral is "eukaryotic LSU rRNA". It matches the Rfam family "Eukaryotic large subunit ribosomal RNA", at positions 216 to 962 of the family's 3401-position model. Lineage: Eukaryota; Fungi; Basidiomycota; Agaricomycetes; Russulales; Russulaceae. The record is from RNAcentral.